UCUUGCUCUUGCUCCUUUGCCUGCUUGCUGCGUGAGACUGAGUAACUGCUAGAUCCUUGGACUUCCAUUCACAGCUGCGACUGAACAAUUGUUGGGAAUUCGGCUGCCGACUGGCUCAUCCCUUCUGAAUAGAAAAUGAUUCAUACUCACCCAGUGUGAAAGGUACAGAAAGGGCUUUGCCCAGAGGCUCAAGAGUCCGGGACACACUGGUUUAUACAAUCACACAGCGCUGGAGAUGAAGAGUACCAUAGUCGUUAUGUAAUCUUACUGGAAGUGAAGGAAGAAGCUAGGCCUCCAACGGGACAAUAUCUUUACACUAAGAGUCUGAAUGACUAUAAGCCGGCCAUGCCUGAUUAAUGCUAGGACAUACAUCAUAAAUCAAAAAGGUAUUUGCAGGUGCCCAUGGAAGCUAAACAGGAACAUCGGAUCCCUUGGAGCUAGAGUUAGAGGAAUUUGGAGCUGUUGUCCCAUUUAGGGACGGGGAUCUGAACUUGGGUCCUCUGGUACAGCAGCAUGAACCCUGACUGAUACAGAAGAGGAAAGACUUGAGGCCCAGCAUCAGAAUCUCCUCAUCCAGACUCCCACCCCAUCCUGAAUUCCUGCUUCCCUAGUCUCAAGGUUGCAACCUCAGAGUUGUCCCUUAGAGCUCAGAGCAGCUAUUGUUC
Molecule: long non-coding RNA, 665 nt
Filed under: Mus musculus (house mouse)
Lineage: Eukaryota; Metazoa; Chordata; Mammalia; Rodentia; Muridae
Description: predicted gene 12724
Source: RNAcentral